This 527-nucleotide ribosomal RNA is filed under the name Lestes temporalis. RNAcentral describes it as "SSU rRNA". It matches the Rfam family "Eukaryotic small subunit ribosomal RNA", at positions 620 to 1119 of the family's 1831-position model. Lineage: Eukaryota; Metazoa; Arthropoda; Insecta; Odonata; Lestidae. The record is from RNAcentral.
UAAAAAGCUCGUAGUCGGAGGUGUGUCUCGGACGGUUGGUUCGCUGCUUGUCGGUGCUUAACUGGCCGGUCCGGACGUCCUGCCGGUGGGGAUGUCAAAAGUCUCCGUUAUCCUUCUUUGGUGCUCUUCACCGAGUGCCUUGGUGGGCCGGCACGUUUACUUUGAACAAAUUAGAGUGCUCAAAGCAGGCCGUUGGUCGCCUGAAUACUGUGUGCAUGGAAUAAUGGAAUAGGACCUCGGUUCCAUUUUGUUGGUUUUCAGAACUCGAGGUAAUGAUUAAUAGGGACGGACGGGGGCAUUCGUAUUGCGACGUUAGAGGUGAAAUUCUUGGAUCGUCGCAAGACGAACCGAUGCGAAAGCAUUUGCCAAGAACGUUUUCGUUGAUCAAGAACGAAAGUUAGAGGUUCGAAGGCGAUCAGAUACCGCCCUAGUUCUAACCAUAAACGAUGCCAGCUAGCCAUCCGCCGAAGUUCCUUCUAUGACUCGGCGGGCAGCUUCCGGGAAACCAAAGCUCUUGGGUUCCGGGG